CUGGCGGCAUGCCUUACACAUGCAAGUCGAACGGCAGCGCGGGGCAACCUGGCGGCGAGUGGCGAACGGGUAAGUAAUAUAUCGGAACGUACCCUGGAGUGGGGGAUAACGUAGCGAAAGUUACGCUAAUACCGCAUACGAUCUAAGGAUGAAAGUGGGGGCUUCGCAAGAACCUCAUGCUCCUGGAGCGGCCGAUAUCUGAUUAGCUAGUUGGUGGGGUAAAGGCCUACCAAGGCAUCGAUCAGUAGCUGGUCUGAGAGGACGACCAGCCACACUGGAACUGAGACACGGUCCAGACUCCUACGGGAGGCAGCAGUGGGGAAUUUUGGACAAUGGGCGAAAGCCUGAUCCAGCAAUGCCGCGUGAGUGAAGAAGGCCUUCGGGUUGUAAAGCUCUUUUGUCAGGGAAGAAACGGUGAGGGCUAAUAUCCCUUGCUAAUGACGGUACCUGAAGAAUAAGCACCGGCUAACUACGUGCCAGCAGCCGCGGUAAUACGUAGGGUGCAAGCGUUAAUCGGAAUUACUGGGCGUAAAGCGUGCGCAGGCGGUUUUGUAAGUCUGUCGUGAAAUCCCCGGGCUCAACCUGGGAAUUGCGAUGGAGACUGCAAGGCUAGAAUCUGGCAGAGGGGGGUAGAAUUCCACGUGUAGCAGUGAAAUGCGUAGAGAUGUGGAGGAACACCGAUGGCGAAGGCAGCCCCCUGGGUCAAGAUUGACGCUCAUGCACGAAAGCGUGGGGAGCAAACAGGAUUAGAUACCCUGGUAGAAUCACUAGUGAAUUC
Molecule: ribosomal RNA, 778 nt
Filed under: uncultured Massilia sp.
Lineage: Bacteria; Pseudomonadati; Pseudomonadota; Betaproteobacteria; Burkholderiales; Oxalobacteraceae
Description: bacterial SSU rRNA
Rfam family: Bacterial small subunit ribosomal RNA
Source: RNAcentral